GCUGUGAUCUCUUCGGAGUGAACUUGUCGCUGUCGAGUGGCGGACGGGUGAGUAAUGCGUAGGAAUUUGCCUCGAAGUGGGGGAUAGCCCGGAGAAAUCCGGAUUAAUACCGCAUGUGCUCUACGGAGUAAAGCGGGCCUCUGAUUUAAGCUCGCGCUUUGAGAUAAGCCUACGUCGGAUUAGCUUGUUGGUAGGGUAACGGCCUACCAAGGCGACGAUCCGUAGCUGGUUUGAGAGGAUGAUCAGCCACACUGGGACUGAGACACGGCCCAGACUCCUACGGGAGGCAGCAGUGGGGAAUAUUGGACAAUGGGCGCAAGCCUGAUCCAGCAAUGCCGCGUGUGUGAAGAAGGCCUGCGGGUUGUAAAGCACUUUUAUCGGGAAAGAAAAUCCCAGGGUUAAUACCUCUGGGCCUUGACGGUACCCGAGGAAUAAGCACCGGCUAACUCAGUGCCAGCAGCCGCGGUAAUACUGAGGGUGCAAGCGUUAAUCG
RNAcentral lists this ribosomal RNA (493 nucleotides) under uncultured bacterium. RNAcentral describes it as "bacterial SSU rRNA". It matches the Rfam family "Bacterial small subunit ribosomal RNA", at positions 66 to 547 of the family's 1533-position model. The record is from RNAcentral.